GAUGAACGCUAGCGGCAGGCUUAACACAUGCAAGUCGAGGGGCAGCACAGUGUAGCAAUACAUGGGUGGCGACCGGCGCACGGGUGCGUAACGCGUAUCCAACCUUCCCGUUACUCAGGGAUAGCCUUCCGAAAGGGAGAUUAAUACCUGAUGGUAUCAGAAUUUCGCAUGUUAUUCUGAUUAAAGAUUUAUCGGUAACGGAUGGGGAUGCGUGACAUUAGGUAGAUGGCGGGGUAACGGCCCACCAUGCCUACGAUGUCUAGGGGUUCUGAGAGGAAGGUCCCCCANACUGGAACUGAGACACGGUCCAGACUCCUACGGGAGGCAGCAGUGAGGAAUAUUGGUCAAUGGUCUGACGACUGAACCAGCCAUGCCGCGUGAAGGUGACGGCCCUAUGGGGUCUUAAAACUUCUUUUUGAAAGGGAGCAAUAAGCCUCACGUGUGGGGUGAUGAGAGUACCUUACGAAUAAGCAUCGGCUAAC
Molecule: ribosomal RNA, 482 nt
Filed under: uncultured bacterium
Lineage: Bacteria
Description: bacterial SSU rRNA
Rfam family: Bacterial small subunit ribosomal RNA
Source: RNAcentral